Ruditapes philippinarum (Manila clam) is the source of this 7745-nucleotide long non-coding RNA. RefSeq lists it as uncharacterized. Lineage: Eukaryota; Metazoa; Mollusca; Bivalvia; Venerida; Veneridae. The transcript has 2 exons. The record is from RefSeq and is a predicted model, not a curated record.
UUUUAGUUUCAGUUUUCCUGGAAACAAACUAAAAAACUUGAUGACGUGUGAACAAGUUUUAUUUCAGAUAGUCAAGAUGUAUGCUAGUUAUCUUAUAUUAUCGCGACUGUUAUUUCCUGUCACUGUUAACAUAUCAAACUGACCACACUUUCAAUCUUUUGGACCAAUUCAAAUUUCAAUGUAAUGAUAUUUUUAUUACAAAUGUAACUGAUUGCCAAAUCCUGAAAUGAUAUUUAUUAGACAUACAAUGUAUAUGUUAUUUACAUUUCCUGUUUUACAGAACCUCUAACAGGUCAUAAUUAUAAAUUCAAAUGUUUUACAGUAUUUUUGUGCUCCUUGAAAAAUCUGUGUCUUCUGCCUAUAGAUAUUUUGUAUGUGCUAACAACAUAUAUUGUAUGUUUAACGCAAUAAAAUUAUUUGAGUUGAGAGUUGAAAUUUACAUUUCCUGUUACUUUCUACUUCUCUUGGCAGAAUAUUAAAACCUCAUAUGUGCGAUUAUGUCUGUGUUUAUUCCGGGGUGUGUAUUUAAAAUAAAACAAAAAUAUGUUACAAAUAUUAAGAGGGUAUUUUUUUUCGUUUGAGUGAAAUAUGGAAUAUAUUUGCACGAAACAUGAUAAAAUGCCACAUAUUUUCACGAGCCGGGACGGCCCAGUUUCAUAUUUAUAUUUUAUUUUUAUUUUUAAAAAAUAUGAAAUAUAUUUGAUUGAUAUAGCACCAUAUUUCAUGGAUAAAAUUAAAACAAAAUAUUAUAUUGAUUAAGGGAUCAAACAACGUGCAACAAAGGCAUACAAUGUGAAUUUAAUAUUCGAUUGAUUUCUACACAAUUAUUCUGUAAAUGUAUGAAGUUAAAAUUGUAUUGUUUGUAUGCAUCCAAUCACAACAUUUUCAUAUUUGAUGACUCAGUCACAUUUUUAGUAUGGCAAUUAGUACAAUUAAUGUCUUGAUUUUCUGUAAAAACGAUAAUCAUGGAAUGUUCUUAGAUAGAGUGGAGUGUAAUUAACGUAUUCUUAUACUAGUGUAUAUAUGUUGUAGACCGUUGGUUAUUUAGCUGUCACAACAUUUCGCUCCGUUUUGUAGAUGCCCAUUCCGUCCGAUUUCAGCCUGUUUCCUUUUAAACAAAUAACAGUUAAAUGUUACGUUUAUUGUAGCCCGUCUUUCUCAUUUCGUAUUGUUAGUUUACUGUAAGAAGAUCAUCCUUUGUGUUUUACAGAAUAUUUUAUCUUUUUAAAGUGGUAUAAAAAUACCAAAGAACUGAAAACAUAACAAUUGCAUGUUUUGGAAUGGAUAGAUCCCUCAAAAGCACACAAUUGUAAAAAAGUGAAACUCGCAGACUAUGUGAAUUAAGUCUAUUCUAAUAGCUAUUUAGAUUUGUUCUACACAUGUCACAUUUCUUUCACCGGCCAGAGUUUUACAUAACAUACGAGUUAUAUUCUAGAAACUUAAAUAUACAAGUAGGUUUGUUUAUAUUUUACCCUCGAAAUCUGGCCAUGAAUGCUGCAAACAGAGUUUUGAACAAUAAACAUUACAUUCAUAUAUUAACAAAAUUUUCUGUUAUUUCUUAAUUAUGCAUGUGCAAAAAAUUACAGAUAUUUUAAAACAGUAUAUCAAUUUCGGCCACCAUCCACCACCAGACAACACAUAGAAUAACAGCAACAUUUUGCUUGAUUUUUUACACACGCUGUAUAAUUAAAUGCAAUUAUAAAAUAUUUACACAUUUUACAUAUUAUUAUAUCAAUUUUGCAGGAUAAAUAUUUUCUUUGGUUUGCAUACUUAUAUAUCUUGUCGAUACCAUAACAUAAUAACCCUGUAAGGGCCAGUCAAAAUUUGGGUUUCGAAAUAGGUCCUAUCAUUUUAUAUUCUAACUCAUUGAAUUUGAAUAGUUUUUUUUACAAUGUUCCUAUUGUGCUUUUACGAAAUUCAUGUGUACAUGCAUCUAUAUAAUACCAAACUUGUGUUAUCAUAAUUGCAUUGAGAUAGUAUAAGAAAUAUUUGUAAUUGUGUGUUUGAAUAAAAAUGAAUGAAAAAGGUUUAAAUCUUUAAUUAUUACCGUUAUCAAUCACAAUUAUUAAACGUCUGUCCGUUAUAUGUAUAUUUAUUGCACACUAUAGGUUAAUUUUCAAGAGGCCGAUAAGGAAACCCGUUUGCAAGAGAAACGUAUGUGUCUGCUAUCCGUACAAACAGAUAAACGAAGAUGUGAAUAUUUUAUGCUACAUCACAGAAAGAUACAGAGUAAAAUCAACAAAGAGACAAAUUAACAUAACUGAAUAUGAAAACAUGCCACAAUUCUUUCAUGUAGUAAAUGCAAGUAUAUAUGUCUAAUACUUGAAUUUUGAAAACGAUAAAAUAAUACCAAUCGAUCACGCCAAUAUUAAAUACACUAAUUGUUUCACAUGGAAUACGAUAGUACAAUGAUCUUCUAUAGGUACUCAUCAAUUAAUGAUGUAAUUUACGUUAAGAGCUUUGUUGAGAAUUCAAUUAGUCCUACGCAUAAACUUUCCCCGAAAAAUUUCCUAUCUCUGGUCAGUGAUGAGCAUUUAAUUAUAAUUACACGGCUUGUCACUGUAUUACUGAUAGCAGCACCCUUGAAUGUUUUAUGAUCCUAUCAUGUUUCAAGAAUGUAUACUUUAAGGUAGAAGACGUAUAGGGAACAUUUUAGAUGUAACGAAAAAAAUAAAUUUAACUUUUUAGUGUAAAGAGAUCUAUACAUUUGUUAAUAAUAGUUAAAGACAAAUAAAAAUUGGAUUACAUUAUAAAAGGUUUUUAAUCACUUACAACUCACAAUGAAAAUAAUUGUAUAAAUUACGUUCAUAUAAAAGGCAUAUCAUACCUCAGUAAUUUACAUCAUUUUUCUUAUUUUUUUAGAAGUAGCAAAGAAUGUUUAGUAAUAAUAAUACUUGAUUCAAAGCAUAAUUGAAGCUUAUCAUUCGAUCUUGUAGGAAAAGAAAUGAAUGAGAUUUUUUUAAUGUACCAAAAUGAUACAAGCAAAAAGUACAUAAAGUUUUUAAAGUAAAAUUCUAAGUUUAAAGAGGAAAUAUUUCACGAAAUAAGGAUGCUAGAGUUAUAAACCUUGUCAUUCAUGAAGUUAGUAAUGAUAAAGGACAAUUGUCUUAAGUCUAGAGUUGAUGUCAUUCAUAAUAACAAAGUAAUUUUUGGAAAUAUUUGAAUUUUAAAUAAAUCCCUAAUUCAAAAAUGAAAUGGAGAUAAUUCUAGAAAUACAGGACUUGAGUUAUAAUUCUAAUCGCACCUGAUAUAGGUGUUGAAACAUUUUUAUGCCGCGGAAAAGAGCAUAUCGAAAUUGCUAUGUCCCUCUGUUUGUCUGGAUGUCCGUCUGUCUGUGCGUCCCCACUUUAUUCAUAACUUUGUCAUGCAUUGAAUGAUAUUAAAUAACUAGGCAUUAAUGUCUACCACCGCAAGACGAUGUGUCGCGUCCAAGAAUUACGUCCCUACCUCAGAGGUCAAGGUCACAUUAACAUUUUGAAGUUUCACUUUAUCAUAAUUAGAGUUUAUAGUUACACGCAUUCGUGUCCGGACUGUCGUGCAUCAAAGGAUUACAAAAUAACUAGGCAUAAAUACUUUCCACAUCAAGAUGACAUGUCACGACUAAGACCCCUAUCCCUACCUUCAAGGUCAAGGUCAUAUUUAUAGUUUGAAGGUAUUCAUUCAUUCGAGAAGAGUUUGAAGAUACAAAUUCAUGUCCGGACUGUAACUUUGACCUUCUUCAAAGGUCAGGUCACACUUAUAUUUGGAAGGUUCACGCUAUCACAAUUAGAGAUUAUAGGUACAAUACUACAAAGAAAUAUUAAGAAAUUUGUUACUUUCACCCUAUUUUCUUUGCAUACGACCAGUCCUGCAUGCUUAAGAAACUUUUUCGGGGGCAUUCGUCACUUAUGUGACAGCUCUUGUUGAAGUCCGAAUUUAAUAAGGAAAAUUCAACGUAUAAAGGGAUGAUGAUUCUGAAAAUAUUGAUGCUAGAGUUAUAAAGCUUGUCAUGUUAUUGUUUAAAGUUAUAAAAUAUCAAUUUUUAUUCAAAACAAAUUUGAAUGGGGUAAAUAAUCCUGGAAAUAUUCAUGCUACAGUAAUGAAUCUUGUCACACAUGAUAAGGAAAUACAUUUGAAGUUAAAGGUUGAUACCUUAAGAAAUAAAAAAGAAUGUAAAAAGUAACAUUUUUUUUGAGAGGAAAAAAAUUCAUGGGGAGAUAAUUCUGGAAAAAUUGGUGUUAGAGUUGAAAAAAAAAACAUUACCACUAUGACGUAGUUGAUGAUAAGGAACACAUGUUUGAAGUUUAAACUUUAAUAUGAAAUGAAGAUGUUAGAGUAAAAUAAAACAUUAUUUAAAUUCAAGGGGAUAUAGUUCUGGAAAUACUGGUUUUAGAGUUUUGCACCUUAUCAAAUGAUGUGGAUGGUGAUAAGGAAUAUAUAUUUGAAAUCGAUACCUUAAGAAAUAAAGAAGUUAUAGGCGCAUAAACAUUAAUUUAAAGUAUGGACGCUAACUUCGACUUGUAAACUAAGGGCCACAGACCCAGUUACAAAAGAAAGGAGAAAAAAACAUUGAUAAUUUUAGUGAGCGUAUCUUCAACAGAAAUUUGAUCCUUCAAAGUUGGGGCCGUUAGAUACAGAGGGGCAAUAAAUAAUGACAAAACUCUCAACUCACUGGACGUGUUAAUGGGAGACAUACCGUUAAUAGUGAUUUAUUAGCUGAUAAGCCCUUACUGAGAUUCAGCAGGCUGGAAUGGUUUAUGCGUAGGACUGUGUAGAAGAAGAGAGAUUCAGCGUGAAGAGUUAAUAUGUGUUAUGUAAAAUUUAUAGGGUCAGCGUGUACAAGAAUAAUGUUAUAGAACACUGAAUUACUGAUUCGAACUAAUAAGCUAAACAUAACAAACAAUGAAACAUGGCUAUCAGAAGUACAUGAUGGUGAUUGAUAAGUGCUUGGGAAAUAGUUAAUUAAUCAGGUACAUAUACUCACCAUUUUUAUGUUUACAUUCAUCGUACUAUUUUCAUGUUUGUAUAUGUUUUAAGCAUCACAUAAUUUUCACCGUCAUUGCAUAAGAGUUAUUUGGCGGUUAUUAACUAUUCUUUAAACUGAGGCGCCUCUCUUUUAUUGUCAUGUACUUGUGUGCCAUGCAUUUUAAUUAAUAAACAUAACAUCUAAAGUGUGAAUGUAAUUUAAAUUGUUGUAACUUUAACGUUUUAACAAUUUUAUAUUUAUAGUAACUUACACACAAAUUCUUAUAAUUUGAAACAAGCAUAAUAAAUUUACGCACGUUAUAAGACUUUAUAAAAUAUUAAUAAGUUUUUUGUCAAUAUUUGUUUUUCUUGCAUAGAAUGAUCAUUUAAUGUUGUUUUGACUCGUUCAAAUUUGUUUAUGAAUAAACAGUAACAUACCAAAGUUUCAAGCUAAUAUGAAAAACAAUAUUAAAGUUAUAUAUUGUUCAUUAAAUUACAAACAUAAAAUUACAUAUACUUGAAAACCCCGUUAUGCUUAAAGUGUAAGUCAAUGUAUUCAUACGACUCAUAUUACAUACAAAUUAGAGAGUUUCAGAUUGAGUAUGCGAUACAUGCAUAUUGUGUGUGUCCUAAAGCGAGUAAUAACUUUCCUAUAAAAUACACACAAUCAUGUGUUUCAUUUUGUAUCAGGCAAUUGAUCUUUUAAAACUUUUGAAUAAAUCUAUGACUUUGAUAUUUUAAGGAACAAAUUUGAUGUGGAAAAAAUGCAAAUGAAAUUGUUUAUUUUAUUUUACAGAUUAGAGAAGAAAGGAAAAAAGUGAUUUGAUAUUCAACAAAUCAAUAAAACGUAUACUGGAUAUUAAUAUAAAACGGCAUUAUAUAUUAUAUGAAUUAGUUACCAUAAAAUAUGGAUAAAAAAGGGCUGUUUAGACAAGUGAUGCAUCGGAACAAAUGCAAACAUUUUGAAUGCGCGAUGAAAACAUCAGACAUAAACCUUUAAUAUGGAAGUUGCUGAAGUGAUUUAUCAUGUUUCAACUAUCGUUUUAUUUUUGUUUUAUUUUUUUUUCUUUACAUAAAGUAAAUUAUUUGAUUCCGCAAAAAUAUAUUCAGAAAAAUGUAUAAAUAUUAUGUCUUGCAUUGUCAGUGCUUUAAGUUUUGUGUAAUAUAAUAUUACACAUAUCUGGUUUUUUAUUAUAUUUGAAAUUUACAAUUUAAAGCACAUCGCUGUAAGUUUCAUUUCUCAAAACCUUUUUUAAGUUUUAAGUUUGGUAUCCUGUUACAGUUUCUUUAAAAUGGUAUUAUCUCAUUUUCUAUAUAGAAUAAUUUGCGAUUGAUAUAAUUUUUGUAAAUAAGUAUUUCGUGUAGAAGUUAAAAUACUGCAUAAUUUACAUUUUGCUACCUUUACGACAUAUUACUGAACAUUCAGCGAUACUUUCCUCAUCUCUUAAACAUCUUACAUUCACUUAAUCUUUGAUUAAACCAAUAGUGAAUACAUGUUUGACAUUUCUAAACAUUUUAAUUAUUAUGGAUUUCUGCGCCAGAUUGUGCCUUUAACCUUUUUAACAUUUUGAUACCAGCUUGUAUCAUCCAAAAGCUUUCUUUGAUACACAUAUAUUUCUUAUUAUGUUAAUUAUAUGUAAAUUAAUCUUUAUUUUUAUGUCUGAUUUUCAAUAAUCAGUUAGAGAUGAGAUCGAAUUUCACAACAAUAAUGUAAGUUAUUUGUAUUAUAUUCAAUGAAUGUUCAGUCUUAAUUUUCGUUUGUUGCUGUAACAAUUCAUGGAAUCUUAUGAUAUAAGAUAUAUAAAAAGAUAUAAGCCCUUUAUAUGCAGAAAUGUUAUUGCAAGUUAAAAGGUUUUCUUUGUUUUUUUUAAGAAGCAACAACAACAACAAUAAAAUAGAAAAAAACGACAGGGGAAAAAACGAUCCAAAAGAAACAUAUCAUUGAAAAUACUUCUGAAUAUAAAUAGUAUUAUAUUUGUUAUAACAAAGCAACCUCUUUACCAUUGCAAAACAUUUUUGAGAUACUUUUGUUUUUUGAUAAAAAAAUAUUUUCAUUUUCAGUUAUGUAUUCAUAUUGUCUUUUUUGCUUUUUUUUAUUUAAGUUAAACUGAGCUAAUAAUAGUUAUCAUAAGGUAGGCAAGGUAAAUUAUAAUAUACUAUUUUUUAAAACACAUUAUUUGUUUUAAUGAAAUUCCUAAAUAUGUUGUAGAACUUCUCACAAAUUGUGUAACUAAUCAACACAAUGUUCAACUUGUGUUAUUUCCGCGUUAUGCGGUUGCACUGUUAGUGCUUCAGUGUAUUUAUUGACUACUAGCGAAAUGAUAAAUGUGGAAUCGACUGUCUGUAAAAUGGACAUUAUUUUACAACUAGAGUUUGUACGAUAGCUGAUAAGAUUUACUACUUCUUUGAGUAAAGAUAUUUUAGAACAUUGAAUUGGCACUUAUGGAACAUACAUGCAAAGCAGACAGCUAUGUGUUAGUUGUCCGCAUAAACUUGAAUAUUAUUUCAAAAGAAUUAACAGAUGAAGAUGUGCCAAUAUAAUACCAUAAAAAUAUAACUUUGGUUGAAUACGUUUUGUAUUCCCUCUGAACAUAAAAUUUAGCUAUUUACUCAGCAUACAAACAAUAGAUUUCCAUGACAGCAAUUAAUCACAUCAUUGCAUAUAUAAAUGAUAAUGAUAUACCGCAUUUGUAUUACAUUUUUACCAUUUUAUGUUUUUAUCACUUUUCAAUCAACUUAUGUUAAAUCAAUGAAUUAUAUAUAUAUUUAUUUAUUCAUUCAUAAAUUUAUUUAAUUAUUUA